Molecule: RNase P RNA, 332 nt
Filed under: pig gut metagenome
Description: Bacterial RNase P class A
Rfam family: Bacterial RNase P class A
About the family: Ribonuclease P (RNase P) is a ubiquitous endoribonuclease, found in archaea, bacteria and eukarya as well as chloroplasts and mitochondria. Its best characterised activity is the generation of mature 5'-ends of tRNAs by cleaving the 5'-leader elements of precursor-tRNAs. Cellular RNase Ps are ribonucleoproteins.
Source: RNAcentral
CCGGAUAAUCGCGCUCAACAGAGUGAGGAAAGUCCGUGCAUCCAAGGACAGAUUCCCGGAGAAACUCCGGACGACGUGAGUCGGUGGAUAGUGCCACAGAAAUGUUAGACUGCCGAUGGAUAUAUUUAUCACAGGCGAUGGUGCAACGGUGAGGUAAGAGCAUCACCGGCGAUAUCGAGAGGUAUCGGCCAGGUAAACCCGAAUAGGAUGCAAGAUAGAAUUGAAGGCUAAAGGUUGUCCGCCCACUUCUAAAAUAUCGCUAGAGAUUGUGAGUAAUCACAAUACCAGACAGAUGAUUAUCUUAAAACAGAACACGGCUUAUGAGCUGCUUU